RNAcentral lists this ribosomal RNA (455 nucleotides) under uncultured organism. RNAcentral's name for it is "partial 16S ribosomal RNA". It matches the Rfam family "Bacterial small subunit ribosomal RNA", at positions 329 to 800 of the family's 1533-position model. The record is from RNAcentral.
ACGUACACUCCUGCGGGAGGCAGCAGUGGGGAAUCUUGCGCAAUGGGCGAAAGCCUGACGCAGCCAUGCCGCGUGAAUGAUGAAGGUCUUAGGAUUGUAAAAUUCUUUCACCGGGGACGAUAAUGACGGUACCCGGAGAAGAAGCCCCGGCUAACUUCGUGCCAGCAGCCGCGGUAAUACGAAGGGGGCUAGCGUUGCUCGGAAUUAUUGGGCGUAAAGGGAGCGUAGGCGGACAUUUAAGUCAGGGGUGAAAUCCCGGGGCUCAACCUCGGAAUUGCCUUUGAUACUGGGUGUCUUGAGUAUGAGAGAGGUGUGUGGAACUCCGAGUGUAGAGGUGAAAUUCGUAGAUAUUCGGAAGAACACCAGUGGCGAAGGCGACACACUGGCUCAUUACUGACGCUGAGGCUCGAAAGCGUGGGGAGCAAACAGGAUUAGAAACCCUUGUAGUCCCAUGA